UUGGCUCCUGAUCAAAAGCCUCAGCUUGUAGUAGCUGUGAGUUUUUAAGUGAGCCUAAAAUAAACUCCUUCCUGUGGUCUGUUGAUUUGUUUCCCAACACCUAAAAAUGGACUAAUCAAUUCAUUUGGAAGGAACAUUU
This 139-nucleotide small nucleolar RNA is filed under the name Kryptolebias marmoratus (mangrove rivulus). The record is from RNAcentral. Lineage: Eukaryota; Metazoa; Chordata; Actinopteri; Cyprinodontiformes; Rivulidae.